UCCAAUGGCCACGGCCGCCCGAGGGGUGGCGGCCAGAUAGGGACUCAGGGAAAAGUGUGCGGAGGCGGUCGCCGCGCAAGGCGGGGGUCUGUCCCCGGCCGCGCUGCGUGCCGCGGCGGGGCGGGAAAUGUCAGGCCGUCCCCGCCUGGUGCGGGGUCGUGGGGCCCGGGAGGGCGCGGAGCGCGGGAGGCGAUGGCGUCGGCGGCGUCGAAGCUGCGGGCGGAGGCCGGGCUCGGGGCGCUCCCGCAGCGGGCGCUCGCCCAGUACCUGCGCCUUCUGCGGCUCUACCCUGUGCUCACCAAGGCGGCCACCAGUGGCAUUUUGUCAGCACUUGGGAACUUCCUGGCCCAGAUGAUGGCGAAGCAGCGGAAAAAAGAAAACUCCCGAAAGCUAGAUGUCAGUGGGCCUCUCAGAUACGCCAUUUAUGGGUUCUUCUUCACAGGGCCACUGAGUCACUUCUUCUACCUCUUCAUGGAGCACUGGAUCCCUUCUGAGGUCCCCUGGGCUGGGGUCAAGAGGCUCCUCCUGGACCGCCUCCUCUUUGCACCGGCCUUCCUGUUGUUGUUCCUCCUCGUCAUGAACUUCCUGGAGGGGAGAGACGCAGCUGCUCUCUCUGUCCAGAUAAGAAGAAGCUUCUGGCCGGCGCUGCGCAUGAACUGGCGAGUCUGGACCCCAGUGCAGUUCAUCAACAUCAACUACGUCCCUCUGCAGGGGUACAGUGAUUAACAAGACAGACCAGACCGCUACUUUCAUGGAGCUUAUAUGCCAGGGAGACUCCCUGACUAAAGGCAUUUCAGUUCCGGGUGCUUGUUGCCAACCUGGUGUCUCUGUUCUGGUACAUCUACCUGGCCUCUCUGGGCAAGUGAAGAUGGCCCGGAGUGAACACACCCAGCUGUGUAGGGACACCCGCCUAGGGUGAGAGAGCAGAAACCACCUGGUCAAGACUGUAGCUGACUCCAGAUCACGUGGUUCAAGAUGGCGAAACAAUCUGUUAAUGUAAGAAUUUCGUGUUUUAAAGAGGUAGAAACUGUCUUCGGGUGAUGCUGCCUCAGAGUCGUAAAAUGCAGUAGCAAUGAUUGCACUUGUCACCCUGAAUUGAGUUAGGACAACAAUAAACUAUAAUGUAGCCUUU
RNA transcript from Acinonyx jubatus (cheetah), 1132 nucleotides. It is a transcript of the gene named peroxisomal membrane protein 2, with no coding region annotated. NCBI's taxonomy places the organism in Eukaryota, Metazoa, Chordata, Mammalia, Carnivora, Felidae. The record is from RefSeq and is a predicted model, not a curated record. The transcript is spliced from 6 exons.